ACCUCCACCAAUGCCAGCACUGUGGACCAUAUAGGAAUGUGGACAAGAUAGGAAAGUGACGAUAUGGGAAUGUUGACGAAUCAGAACAUAUGACAAUAAUGACAAGUUUAGAAGGUGACGAAAUACGAUUGUGGACGAAGCGGUCCU
Cydia strobilella is the source of this 147-nucleotide long non-coding RNA. RefSeq lists it as uncharacterized. The transcript is spliced from 3 exons. Lineage: Eukaryota; Metazoa; Arthropoda; Insecta; Lepidoptera; Tortricidae. The record is from RefSeq and is a predicted model, not a curated record.